AUUGAACGCUAGCUGGAUGCUUUACACAUGCAAGUCGAACGUCAGCGCGUACUUCGUUCUGGCGGCGAGUGGCGAACGGGUGAGUAAUGUAUCGGAACGUGCCCAGUAGCGGUGGAUAGAUCCGCGAAAGCGUAGCUAAUACCGCAUACGCCCUACGGGGGAAAGCCAGGGAUCUUAAUCCCUUGCACUAUUUUUACCGACGAUAUCGGAUUAGCUAGUUGGUGAGGUAAUGGCUCACCAAGGCGACGAUCCGUAUCUGGUUUGAGAGGCCGACCAGCCAAACUAGGACUGAGACACGGCCCAGACUCCUACGGGAGGCAGCAGUGGGGAAUUUUGGACAAUGGGGGCAAACCUGAUACAGCCAUCCCGCGUGUGGGAUGAAGGCCUUCGGGUUGUAAAGCACUUUUGGCAGGAAAGAAACGUAGCGAGCUAAUACCCCGUGGAACUAACGGUACCUGAAGAAUAAGCACCGGCUAACUACGUG
This 484-nucleotide ribosomal RNA is filed under the name uncultured bacterium. Its description in RNAcentral is "partial 16S ribosomal RNA". It matches the Rfam family "Bacterial small subunit ribosomal RNA", at positions 30 to 507 of the family's 1533-position model. The record is from RNAcentral.